UUUUCUUCCAUGCUCAAGAACUGCAUCUCUGGCGUCCGCAGCUCAUCUCUCCCCACUGCAGCUCGGGCCUUUCAGCCCCUGGAAGCCAAUUAGGUUCGGAUCCAUCAGCACAGCACCAUCAUGAGCACCGUGGUCUCCAGCUCUACAGGUAUCGACAUAUACAAGUUGCAACAUCUGGGGAAGGUGGCUUGGUUUAAGCCUAGUGAGGUUCUCGAGAUAUUGCGGAAUUUUGAGCAGCUGGGGAUCCAACACAAGACCCCUUAGAGGCCACCGAGUGGUUCUUGGUUUCUUUUCAACCGCAAGGUACACCGCUUAUUCCGGAAUGAUGGGUAUCAAUGGCAGAAAAAGACGACUGAGAAGAGCAAUUAUGAAGCCCAUGAGUACCUUAAGGUUGAUAAUGUUAAGGCACUGAAUUGCUACUAUGCUCGCGUAGAAGAAAAUCCUACAUUCAUGAAGCGGAUCUAUUGGAUGCUUGAACCGGCUUAUGAUCACAUUGUUCUUGUCCAUUAUAGAGACGUUCUAGAGGGAACUUUAACAGCUGAAACAGAUGUGCAACAAUUUGCAGUUAUACAUGGAGACCAUGAAACAGAUAUGCAGGUGCAAAAUAGUGAUUGUUGUAGUGAAACAAAUGUGCAACAGUUCGCAGUUAUGCAUGGAGACCAUGAAACAGAUAUGCAGAUAGAACCAACACCUGACUAUAUGCCGUUGCAACAUUUGAAAGACAUCACAAACAACUUUUGCAAUGAGAGAAUACUUGGUAGAGGUGGUUUUGGUGUGGUAUAUAAGGUAAGUCUAAUGCAUAUAUGUUUGUGUUUUCUUAAAGCACUACAUAAUCAGGCUUUGGAGAUGGUAUUAAACAUGCUCUGGAGGCGGUUUUCCAUUCUGCCACACGGGUGUCUUCGGGGUCGACCAUUAGGAUAUCCGGCAAGGCAGUGGUGGCUAGGGAGGCCGUGCCACCCCCUUUAAUCUAGCCUGAUAUGACCGAGAGUGGAGAUGAAGGUUUUGGCAAGAUCUUCCGGACAAAAGACGCAUACCCACUAAAGAAAUAUAAUGGGUUGCUCGCCUUCUCGGUGUAGUUGUAGAAGUCACGACAAGUCGACAAGGGCCUCCUCCUGGGGUUGGCACUUGGCGGCAACGGCCGAUGAUGGCGGCGGUGGCGGGAAGCAGUCCUCCAUGGUCGGUGGCAAGGCUUGGUGGCGGAGGAGGUGGCGACGGGAGAGCCAACCCACUUACACUCAACUCCUUGUUCGGCGACACUAUCCCAUGCAGUUCUACCCAUGCCCUCACCCUCGAUUGAUUCUGAUAGGAAAUGCCCCGCCUCCAUUCCUUCGAAUAGUAGAGAAAGACAAUGGCAUAGGGCGCGGUGGUAGAGGAUAUAUAUAGGCUAUGUGGUAGACAUACUAGAGCCAGUUAUUACAAAGAAACUACCUCGAAUACUUACAACUUGUAGAUAGUUCCAUAAAACUAACCGCCUUCCUCUAUUACUAUAGGUGGUUCCAAUUUCGGAACCACCUCCGAUAGUCUCUAUAACAAAUAUAACCGCAUCCGAGGGGCUAUUGCCAAAACCGCCUCCGAAGGACACAUCCAAUGCCCAUUUCUGUACUAGUGAAGUGCAAACAAUACUUGACCGAGAAAUAAAUACCAUAUUAAUAAGAGACUGUAAUCAGGGAGUGCUACAAAAUGGAAAAAUGGUUGCAGUGGAGAAGCUUGUGCAGUCAAUGUCAAGCUCACGGGAGCAAUUUGAGAAUGAGGUUAAUCUUCUUAUGAAACUGAAGCACACAAAUAUAGUGCAACUACUAGGCUACUGUUAUGAAACACAGCAUUUACGUAAGCUCCAUGAAGGGAAAUUCAUUUUUGCUUGGAACACUGAGUGUUUGCUUUGCUUGGAGUGUCUGCCUAAGGGAAGUCUUGAUAUAUACAUUUCAGGUAUGGCAUUUAAUAGUUCUUGUUUCUCUACUUUUCAUCUCUCUUUGAGGUUGCAAUUUUCUUGUUUGAUCAUAGUUCCUAAAAACCAUAUUCUCAUGAAUGAACAGAACUGAGAAUAUACAAUAUAAAUUUCAAAGUCUUUCUAUAUAUAGAGUAAACUGGUAAUUGUAGAUUUUAAGACAUCAUCUAUAGAAUGCUCUUCUAUUACUUACAAAUGCAGAUGCAUCUUACAGAUUUGAUUGGCCCACACGCCUCCAAAUAAUUGAGCGGAUUUCCUAUGGUCUACAAUACCUCCAUGAGCAAUCCGAUGGUCCCAUUAUUCACUUGGACCUAAAACCGGCGAACAUAUUGCUUGAUGAAAAUAUGAUACCAAAAAUUACAGACUUUGGUCUGUCAAGACUGUUUGAUCAAAAACAAACUAUUCACACCGCAGUGACAACUGGAACGCUGUAAGUGAAUGCCCCUUGAUAAUCCAUUGCUUAGUAAGCAACACAUCUUAAAACUUUAUGUUCGAUCGCUCAUGUGAAUAAUGCAAAGGCUAUAUGCCGCCAGAAUACCUACGAGGUAUAAUCACACCUAUGUCAGACAUAUUCAGUUUGGGUGUGAUUAUCAUGGAGGUAAUAACAGGGCACAGGGACUACCCAUAUGAUAUUAGAACAUCUUCCAAAGAAUUCAUCGAGCUUGAACUUAAAAAAUGGAGAGAUGUGCUGCAAAUAGAACCGGGGUAUACAUCGCUUGAAAUAGAUUGCCAACAAAUAACAAGAUGCAUCCAGAUAGGUCUAAUAUGCGUGAAUCCUGAGCGGACCAAAAGACCUGCAAUGAAGAAAGUUAUCGAUAUGCUUCAAGGUUUGGAAAGUGUGGAUUGGUACAUUAGCAACGAGUUAUCAAGCCGACCACAACAUCCAGGUGGAGCCGCAGUAAAUUAGCAAAGGAGACUGCCACAACGUCCGUUGUUUCCGUCUUUCUGGUAUGUCACUUUCAAAUGUAUAGACAAUUUAAGUUGUUACAGAGGGCUUUGGACCCUGUCCGUAGGCGUUCCUACCAAGCAUGUGAAUGUGCAUAUAUGUG
This is a non-coding RNA of Aegilops tauschii subsp. strangulata, 2994 nucleotides long. NCBI's taxonomy places the organism in Eukaryota, Viridiplantae, Streptophyta, Magnoliopsida, Poales, Poaceae. The record is from RefSeq and is a predicted model, not a curated record.